AGUAUGUAGCAGGAUGGGGAAAAAAUGGUGAAUCCUUUCUGUGAUGGACAGAAGCCCUGUCUUCAGCUUUGGGAAUUUUAAUCCAACUUGUUGUAUUAUCUACGAUUAGAUCAACAUCUGCAAGUGUCAAAAUGCUUCUGGAGAAACAGGAUUACCUGGGAAGUCAGAUGAGGCUUCAGUGUUGUCCACGUUGCAAAGGCAUGGCGUAACCCUGCCCAUGCAGGAGGUCCUAGCUCAUUUUGUGCAUGGGAAAAAGGCUCCAGAGCCUACAGACCACUAAGUGCCUCCUCUAGUAUUUGCAGCAGCAUGAUCUCCUGUUGACCUGUUAUGCCAUCUAGAGAACUUGAGGCCUUUCCAUCUCAGCAGAUGUCCCUCGGUGUUCUUCAGAUUGAGCUCUUUGCCACAUCAACAGUAGCUGUGGAGACAUUCUUUCUCAGGAAGCAGUGCAGGGCUAAGGACGGUUGAGCACUUAGACUGCAAACACAAAUGGUGUCUUUUUCUUCCUUGUGGGUAUGUUAAUCCAAACAAGCUAUUAAAGAGCUGAGCCAGUUCUCACAUAUUUAAUCAUGUGUCUUAUUUAGGUUUUGGUUUAGGUUUUUUUGCUCUGCAAGUCUGAACAGCUGGUCCUGCUCAUUCUCACCUUGUUCCUGUUUGUGCUGGUCCUGGCUUUUUCCUGUGAUACAUCUCUCCCUUGUGAAGUAAGUGGUGCUUUAAAAAGAAUUCAGCAGAAGCACAAGGGCCAAAGCGGUGUGACCAUUUGUCUUCAUGUGCAAAAAGACAUUCCAAUGGAAAUUCUGAAGAAGUUCUUCGUUUCUGACCUCUUCUUCUAUCUGACAGAACGAGCCUUCCUGAAAUACAGCAAUGGGCAGUCCUUCCUGUAGACCUUAGGAGAGCUGUGGUGGCAGCAAGCACAGAGGCACACUGUCAAACACAAGAGGACAGGCUCUCUGGUAGUACACACCUUCUGCAAGAGACUGAGAUCUGUGGAUCCAGAAAACGAAUGUGUGCUGCACCUAUGACGGCCUCUUCCUAGCAAAGAAAGCGCCCAUGUACAGGAGGCAUCUCGAACAUCUUGGAGUUUACAUAGAAAAACAGCUUCUUUUAUACAACAGAAAGUCAGUAAGAAUAUCUUUGCACUGGCUAUCAUCUGCAUUAGCCCUACCUGCCUACAAACUGCAUGCCAUCUCCAUGGAGGAUUGAAUUCCAAGAGAGAAAAUGGAUAUGAAAGAAAAUUGCAUGGUUUGAAGCAGAUGUAUCCGAAUCAGUCAGCUUCUGCUACAGGAAACUAUGCACAGAUUUGGGUAAUUUCAAAAUAUUAUAUAUGAGGAGAAAAGACUUCAACAGAUAAAAAGUGCUUGCUUGCACAGGACAUGGUCUGUGCGCAUAAACACAUAUAAAGGCAGCAGUGCACAAAAACUGGAAGCAAACACAUGUAGAGGGUGUUUUUGAGACUCCAACUGUUACAGCUACAGCCUUUUGGGAACCUGGCAACCCUGUGCAACCCUUGACAGAUCUGUUUUUACAACAAAGCAUGGGGCCGAAUUGCCAACUUUGAUGUCUCUUCAUAAAGGAGGAAUCCAAACUUGCAGGAAGUAUGUCUUCCGUCUGAGAGGAGAGCAAGUCAGAACCAUUGGAGACUUGCACCACCUCCGUGCAACUUUGCAUGUCUUGUUUCCAUGUCUCUCCCUGUCCCAUUUCCUUGCAGCCCUUCUUACUCAGGUGUGGUGCAGUGGUCCUACAGCACAGAUCUCCCACUACAGCCGUCCCCAGUUUGUCUACCCCUUGCUCCCAUGAAGUCCAGCCAGUUCACCUCCUGCAAUACGUUUUUCUCUGCAGAUUACUCUUUCCCUAUUGCGUCUGGUACCUGGCACAAGCCAUCUGAUUCCCAUACUACAGAGAUCACUUGUAAGGUUAUGGGGAGGAUGCUGCUAAUCUGUCUCAGGAAAGCCUGAGUUUGACUCCCCUCACCCUAAUCCUAGGCAGUCUGUUCUGGGGGUAUUGUAUUUUUCUGCAUUCCAGUCAAGGAGAGGAAAGAGGCAACUUUGUUCUCUGGAAAGGCUGACAGGCUAUCCCAUGAGCACAGUUUGAAAGCACUUUGUACAGCAGCAGUUCUAUUACUUAUAUACUUGAUGAUUGCACAAAGGUUACAUGGUUUCAGAUUUCCUAACCAUAACCCUUUCUGGGAAUAUGGAGCCAAAUUUUUGUCCCUGGCAGAUCACUAAAACCUUGAAGUUGUAAAUGAGACCAGCAUUUGACCUGUUUCUUACUAUUUUUCUUUAUAAGAA
This is a long non-coding RNA of Strigops habroptila (Kakapo), 2285 nucleotides long. RefSeq lists it as uncharacterized. NCBI's taxonomy places the organism in Eukaryota, Metazoa, Chordata, Aves, Psittaciformes, Psittacidae. The record is from RefSeq and is a predicted model, not a curated record. The transcript has 7 exons.